AACAGCUGUCAGAAGUUGAAUCAUCUCAAAUUCAUUCAUGCAUCUUCUCUCUUUUGUGAUAGGAACUGCCCUUCGCUAUUCAAGAGAAAAAAAGAGCCCGGUACAAGAAUCAGUAAGCGGAGUAUACAGAGCCCGGAGAUCAAUAAGGGACUUGACGCUGCCCCAGUGUACGAUGACGUGUCCGAGUUCCCAGUCUACGCCACCGUGAGCAAGCCCAAGAAUAUGAAGCAUGAUGAAAGCAGCGUGCACUACGCGGACAUCCAGGUCUUCACUAAAAUCCGGGAACGUUCAGCUGAGGAGGUGAAAAAUCUCCAGUCGCAGAAUGCCACGGAGUAUGCCACCCUCAACUUCCCCCGAGCCACCCUGAAGUAUGACAACAAGAACGGGACUCUGGUGUAAAACCCAAAGUCUCUCUCGCUAUCCUACAGGAAAAUUAUGUCAAGAACUGCAGAUGCUCGGCUGUUUUGCUUGGGAAUGCUCAGAAAGACUGCCAUCUGGGUCAGGUCAGAAUGGACUCAUGGGAGCAAGAUAUUUUCUUGGGUGUGCCAAGAAAAUUAGCACUUCGGGCAGAGUAAGAAGUGGUGUGUCAGAGGAAAAAUGGCUUCUUGUAUCAUGUUACCAAGCAAGAUUGUGGGGAGACCAUGCUGGAGGAUGAAGCACAACUGAAACUGGAAAGGACAUAAUGUUUUGUAAGAUUUUUAAAAGCUUUCCAUAAGCAAUAAUUGCAGGAUUUUGUUAUAUCAAGAGGGGUUGCUCUGAAAAUAGAGUCCCCCCCCCCCUUGGGGGAAAAAGCACACUACAAAAACAUUUUGAGCUGUCUUAACUUAGACAUUUACUCCCAUUGGCAGCAAGAGGAUUAUUCCCUGGGAAAGACUGUGUGAAAUUUUGUGUGUGUUGGAAAUUCAGGGCAUACUUCCAUCUGUGUGGAAGAAAUGGGUACGAAUUUUCUUUGUCAGUGUAAGAAGUGGAUAAUUCCUUUGGCAGCUUAGCUCGUGAAAAAACAAUUAUCCAUUUUCUCUGAUGGAAGCACCAGGCUGAAAUAGCAACCCUGGCCCUGAUUGCCCAGGGUUAUUGUGGAAUGGUCUGUGAGGCAGGUUUUGAAAGAGAGAGAAUUCCCAGCACGGUUUCCGCGCAGUUAAAUUGAUCCAGGAAAAGGGCAAUUAUGAUGUAAAACUGCGGGUUCCCCACAUCCUAAAAUUAGCUUAUUUUCAAGUAAAAGAUGA
Molecule: non-coding RNA, 1223 nt
Organism: Python bivittatus (Burmese python)
Lineage: Eukaryota; Metazoa; Chordata; Lepidosauria; Squamata; Pythonidae
Source: RefSeq, a predicted model, not a curated record